This 336-nucleotide unclassified non-coding RNA is filed under the name soil metagenome. RNAcentral describes it as "partial contains 5.8S ribosomal RNA, internal transcribed spacer 2, and large subunit ribosomal RNA". The stretch from base 1 to 120 matches the Rfam family "5.8S ribosomal RNA", at positions 35 to 154 of the family's 154-position model. The record is from RNAcentral.
GAUGAAGAACGCAGUAAAAUGCGAUAAGUAAUGUGAAUUGCAGAAUUCAGUGAAUCAUCGAAUCUUUGAACGCACAUUGCGCCCGCCAGUAUUCUGGCGGGCAUGCCUGUUCGAGCGUCAUUUCAACCAUCAAGCCCCAGGCUUGUGUUGGGGACCUGCGGCUGCCGCAGGCCCUGAAAACCAGUGGCGGGCUCGCUGUCACACCGGGCGUAGUAGAUUUUAUCUCGCUCAGGGCGUGCUGCGGGUUCCGGCCGUUAAAAAGCCUUUUUUACCCAAGGUUGACCUCGGAUCAGGUAGGAAGACCCGCUGAACUUAAGCAUAUCAAUAAGCGGAGGA